RNAcentral lists this ribosomal RNA (375 nucleotides) under uncultured organism. RNAcentral's name for it is "partial 16S ribosomal RNA". It matches the Rfam family "Bacterial small subunit ribosomal RNA", at positions 527 to 896 of the family's 1533-position model. The record is from RNAcentral.
GUAGGUGGCAAGCGUUGUCCGGAAUUAUUGGUCGUAAAGCGCGCGCAGGCGGUUCUUUAAGUCUGAUGUGAAAGCCCACGGCUCAACCGUGGAGGGUCAUUGGAAACUGGAGAACUUGAGUACAGAAGAGGAAAGCGGAAUUCCACGUGUAGCGGUGAAAUGCGUAGAGAUGUGGAGGAACACCAGUGGCGAAGGCGGCUUUCUGGUCUGUAACUGACGCUGAGGCGCGAAAGCGUGGGGAGCAAACAGGGAUUAGAUACCCUGGUAGUCCACGCCGUAAACGAUGAGUGCUAAGUGUUAGGGGGGUUUUCCGCCCCCUUAGUGCUGCAGCUAACGCAUUAAGCACUCCGCCUGGGGAGUACGGCCGCAAGGCUG